RNAcentral lists this ribosomal RNA (1926 nucleotides) under Orbilia cisti. RNAcentral describes it as "eukaryotic LSU rRNA". The stretch from base 1294 to 1926 matches the Rfam family "Eukaryotic large subunit ribosomal RNA", at positions 1 to 648 of the family's 3401-position model. Lineage: Eukaryota; Fungi; Ascomycota; Orbiliomycetes; Orbiliales; Orbiliaceae. The record is from RNAcentral.
CCUUAGAUGUUCUGGGCCGCACGCGCGCUACACUGACAGAGCCAACGAGUAUAAACCUUAACCGAGAGGUUUGGGUAAUCUUGUUAAACUCUGUCGUGCUGGGGAUAGAGCAUUGCAAUUAUUGCUCUUCAACGAGGAAUAUCUAGUAAGCGCGAGUCAUCAGCUCGCGUUGAUUACGUCCCUGCCCUUUGUACACACCGCCCGUCGCUACUACCGAUUGAAUGGCUCAGUGAGGCCUUCGGAUUGGCUCAGGGAGGUCGGCAACGACCACCCAGAGCCGAAAAGUUGGUCAAACUUGGUCAUUUAGAGGAAGUAAAAGUCGUAACAAGGUUUGUAAUAAGUCUCCUUCCGCAGUGACGCUUAUGAGAAGCCUUUGUGGCCCUGCAAAGGGUACCAGCCGCGACUAUAAAGAAUGAAGAAGCCGGUAUUAAAUCGCAAGUCAGUUGGGCAACCAUCUGGCCACACUUUCGAAUUGCGGGAACACCCUAAAGCCCAAUCUCUACCAACCAAGCAAGGAAAACUACUUGGGGCCUGUGCUAAUCACACAGGGUAAGGUAAUAACGAGUUGGGAUAACGGUUCUGACCGGACCAGUAUGGGUAAUCCGCAGCCAAAUCCCUACAGCUUUGGUCACAAAGCCAUGGGAAAGGUUCACAGACUAAGUGGAAGUGGGCUGAAAAACUGUUCAGCUUAAGAUAUAGUCGGGCCCUAUGGGAAACCAAUGGGGAGUCACUAAUCCGCAGUGUACACCGUUCCGUAGGUGAACCUGCGGAAGGAUCAUUAUGAUAAAAACUCUAUUGCCUCGUGCAAUGGUUAAACCCUUUGUGAACCAAAACCUUUAUUAGCUUCGGCAGCGUGCAAGCGGGUUUACGCCUGUUUGUCUGUUAGCCUGCCGGUAGCACCAAACCAAACUUUUGUUUAAAACAUCUAGUCUGAACAAUCAUUUUCGAAUGAAAAAUUAAAACUUUCAACAACGGAUCUCUUGGUUCUCGCAUCGAUGAAGAACGCAGCGAAACGCGAUAGUUAAUGUGAAUUGCAGAAUUCAGUGAAUCAUCGAGUCUUUGAACGCACAUUGCGCCCUUUGGUAUUCCGAAGGGCAUGUCUGUUUGAGCGUCAUUACAACACCUCGUUAACAAUUAGUUUUGUGAACGGUUUUGAGCUCUGGCUGUUAAAAGCCUGGUUUUAAAGUUGAACGCUCUGCGGGUCACACUGCCAAACUAUACAUAGUAAAACUUAUUCUGUACGGUGAGAAAGUGAAUUGACUUCGCCUGAAUAAAAAACCCAUUUCUAAGGUUUGACCUCAGAUCAGACAAGGAUACCCGCUGAACUUAAGCAUAUCAAUAAGCGGAGGAAAAGAAACCAACAGGGAUUGCCUCAGUAACGGCGAGUGAAGCGGCAACAGCUCAAAUUUGAAAUCUCAGGUAUUUUACUUGCGAGUUGUAAUUUGAAGAGGAUGUUUCGGUUGUGACCUUGGCCUAAGUUCCUUGGAACAGGACGUCGUAGAGGGUGAGAAUCCCGUACACGGCUGUAGGUUUACUUCCAUGUGUAACUCCUUCGAAGAGUCGAGUUGUUUGGGAAUGCAGCUCAAAAUGGGUGGUAAAUUUCAUCUAAAGCUAAAUACUGGCGAGAGACCGAUAGCGCACAAGUAGAGUGAUCGAAAGAUGAAAAGCACUUUGAAAAGAGAGUUAAACAGUACGUGAAAUUGUUGAAAGGGAAGCGUUUGCAAUCAGACUUGCUUGCGGUUGAUCAACGUUCCUUCUGGUUCGUGCACUCUGCCGUUCGCAGGCCAGCAUCGGUUAGGACAGUGGGACAAAGACUCAAGGAAUGUGGCUUUCUUCGGGAAGUGUUAUAGCCUUGUGUGUAAUGCCACUUGACCUGACCGAGGUCCGCGCUUUUGCUAGGAUGCUGGCGUAAUGGUUGUAAACGGC